Molecule: ribosomal RNA, 253 nt
Filed under: uncultured bacterium
Lineage: Bacteria
Description: partial 16S ribosomal RNA
Rfam family: Bacterial small subunit ribosomal RNA
Source: RNAcentral
UACGUAGGUGGCAAGCGUUGUCCGGAUUUAUUGGGUUUAAAGGGUGCGUAGGCGGCCUUAUAAGUCAGUGCUGAAAUAUCCCGGCUUAACCGGGAGGGUGGCAUUGAUACUGUAGGGCUUGAGUAAAGUUGAGGUUGGCGGAAUUGACGGUGUAGCGGUGAAAUGCUUAGAUAUCGUCAAGAACACCUAUUGCGAAGGCAGCUAACUAAGCUUUAACUGACGCUGAUGCACGAAAGUGUGGGGAUCAAACAGG